CUUCCAGCCUCAGCCAAAACAUCUGAGUCAACAGGAUCAUCCUCUGGCAGGGGCCUGGUGCAAUUUCCACCUUGGUAACAUUCAAKACUAACAGCAGCAUUUCUACAUUACCGGGAUUACACCUGAAGAGAUCUCUCUCCAGCCCACUGAGAACCACACCACAAAAAUCUUUGAGACUACGUUACUGGAAAUCACUUCAAAAUUAGUAUUAAGCAUUGAUUCAUGCAAACAGARAAACCUUUUUUUUCCCCUGUAUAUUAUAGAGUUGAAUUAAUUAUUUUAACCUUGGAAAAUCUUCAUCUUGCCAUUCUUCCUUAAACUCCACACCUUCCAUUCUUCUUGAGUUACUAACAGGGACUCCUGCCCAGCCUGAAGCUCU
Nothoprocta perdicaria is the source of this 379-nucleotide long non-coding RNA. RefSeq lists it as uncharacterized. Lineage: Eukaryota; Metazoa; Chordata; Aves; Tinamiformes; Tinamidae. The transcript is spliced from 2 exons. The record is from RefSeq and is a predicted model, not a curated record.